UACGGAGGAUGCAAGCGUUAUCCGGAAUGAUUGGGCGUAAAGCGUCCGCAGGUGGCAAUGUAAGUCUGCUGUCAAAGCGUCUGGCUCAACCAGAUAAAGGCAGUGGAAACUACAUAGCUAGAGUAAGGUAGGGGUAGAGGGAAUUCCUGGUGUAGCGGUGAAAUGCGUAGAGAUCAGGAAGAACACCGGUGGCGAAAGCGGUGCUCUGGGCCGGUACUGACGCUGAGGAGCGAAAGCGUGGGUAGCAAACAGG
This 253-nucleotide ribosomal RNA is filed under the name uncultured bacterium. RNAcentral's name for it is "partial 16S ribosomal RNA". It matches the Rfam family "Bacterial small subunit ribosomal RNA", at positions 524 to 776 of the family's 1533-position model. The record is from RNAcentral.